AUUGAACGCUGGCGGCAGGCCUAACACAUGCAAGUCGAGCGAGCGGCGGACGGGUGAGUAAUGUCUGGGAAACUGCCGGAUGGAGGGGGAUAACUACUGGAAACGGUAGCUAAUACCGCAUACCAUCAGAUGUGCCCAGAUGGGAUUGGCUAGUAGGUGGGGUAACGGCUCACCUAGGCGACGAUCCCUAGCUGGGCUGUGAGGAUGACCAGCCACACUGGAACUGAGACACGGUCCGGACUCCUACGGGAGGCAGCAGUGGGGAGUAUUGCACAAUGGGCGCAAGCCUUAUGCAGCAAUGCCGCGUUUGUGACGAAGGCCUUCGGGUUGUAAAGCACGUUCAGCGGGGAGGCGUUACCCGCAGAAGAAGCACCGGCUAACUCCGUGCCAGCAGCCGCGGUAAUAC
Molecule: ribosomal RNA, 406 nt
Filed under: uncultured bacterium
Lineage: Bacteria
Description: partial 16S ribosomal RNA
Rfam family: Bacterial small subunit ribosomal RNA
Source: RNAcentral